AGCGAACGCUGGCGGCAGGCUUAACACAUGCAAGUCGAGCGCCCCGCAAGGGGAGCGGCAGACGGGAGAGUAACACGUGGGAACAUACCUUUUGGUUCGGAACAACUGAGGGACACUUCAGCUAAUACCGGAUAAGCCCUUACGGGGAAAGAUUUAUCGCCGAAAGAUUGGCCCGCGUCUGAUUAGCUAGUUGGUGAGGUAACGGCUCACCAAGGCGACGAUCAGUAGCUGGUCUGAGAGGAUGAUCAGCCUCACUGGGACUGAGACACGGCCCAGACUCCUACGGGAGGCAGCAGUGGGGAAUAUUGGACAAUGGGGGCAACCCUGAUCCAGCCAUGCCGCGUGAGUGAUGAAGGCCUUAGGGUUGUAAAGCUCUUUUGCCCGGGAAGAUAAUGACGGUACCGGGAGAAUAAGCCCCGGCUAACUUCGUG
RNAcentral lists this ribosomal RNA (431 nucleotides) under uncultured bacterium. Its description in RNAcentral is "partial 16S ribosomal RNA". It matches the Rfam family "Bacterial small subunit ribosomal RNA", at positions 29 to 507 of the family's 1533-position model. The record is from RNAcentral.